UUCCAUCCGUAUCCACAUUGUACAGAUGAGGAAACCAAGGCCCAGAGAAGUGAAGUAACUUUGCUCAAAAUGUCACUAUUAGUAAGCAGUGGUGGCUGGGAGAUGAACUCAAGCCAGCUGGCACUAGAUGUUACCCUCCUCCCCAGAACCCGGACUGCAGGUCCAGGAGAGGAGGGUGAGGAGGCAGCUGGGGAUGGGUGUGGCCCCAGGAGGGAAUGUGGGCUGUGAGUACCAUGUCCUGUUUACCUGUGAGGGAAGUCAGACCCCUGAGUCAGAACGCGUGCGGGACUGUUUUGUUGGAGUCAUCAUCGUGUGUGGGUGUCCGGGCCUGACUACUCUGGAAGGAAAGGAUUCCCAGGAUUCCUAAGGCCAUGGUCCUGAAAUCUAAGACACCUCAAAGACUGAGAUGACGACUGGUAGUUGUUGAAGAAAGAAAAUUAGGAAGUCAGCCUUACCACAGCACGGAUUGGCACUGAUGAGGAAGUGCAGCCGAGGGCAGGAGGGAACGCCCUGGAAGGUGUGGAUGCUGAGCUGGGGAGGCUCCUAGACGAAUCGCCCCCAUCUGCUGACUGUGCCAGCCAUGCGUAUGUAGGAUAGAGUGGCCCAGGGAUGAUAAAAACAGUCUGUGUGCCGUGGGAAGAAGGCAGAUUGUUUCCUUAGCUGGGACUUGGCUUUUGUCCAGGGCAACUCCGGUGUGUGGGAGCAACAGGUCCCAUUUUAGCAAUUAUAUGUCAAUGAUUUGAAAAU
Long non-coding RNA from Pipistrellus kuhlii (Kuhl's pipistrelle), 747 nucleotides. RefSeq lists it as uncharacterized. The record is from RefSeq and is a predicted model, not a curated record. The transcript has 2 exons. NCBI's taxonomy places the organism in Eukaryota, Metazoa, Chordata, Mammalia, Chiroptera, Vespertilionidae.